AUGGGCAGACUGCCGGGAUGGAAGGGCAAAAACAUCGCUAGGCCUGGAAGGGUCUCCCUGGCAAAGUCUGUCUUGUGCGCUAUCGCCACACACCACCUCACUGCGUUUCCCCUCCCGGUUUGGGCAAACCACAAGCUCAGCAAGAUUUCACGAAAUUUCAUUUGGAGCGGCGACAACUUUGAUAACGCGUCUGGGGGACACUCCCUGGUCAACUGGAAAACGGUGUGCAGGCCGAAGGCCCUUGGUGGGCUCGGGAUCACGGACCUCGAGAGAUUUGGCAGGGCUCUCCGCCUGCACUGGCCUUGGCUCAUGUGGACCGACCCUAACCGGCAGUGG
RNAcentral lists this ribosomal RNA (336 nucleotides) under Triticum aestivum (bread wheat). RNAcentral's name for it is "partial small subunit ribosomal RNA". Lineage: Eukaryota; Viridiplantae; Streptophyta; Magnoliopsida; Poales; Poaceae. The record is from RNAcentral.